This 478-nucleotide long non-coding RNA is filed under the name Homo sapiens (human). RNAcentral describes it as "HSALNT0312911". The record is from RNAcentral. Lineage: Eukaryota; Metazoa; Chordata; Mammalia; Primates; Hominidae.
UUUCACUCUGACCUUGGUAUAAAUUAGGGAAGGGGCAAGAAUGGCAGCAGAAACAACAGUGGAGAUGUAUUAAUAGUUUAGGGAAAAGGAAAUGAAGACUGAAAUUAAGAUGAAGGGUUAACAGCCAGGUCCUUGCCUGCUGUGCAGUCUGAUGAAAGACUUCAGCCUCUGCUCAAUCACCUCAGUCAUUCCUACACUGGCCAAGAUUACAGUACCCAGGGAAAUGUUGGGAAAAUUUCUUUAGAUCAGAUUGAUUUGCUUUCUACCAAAUCCUUCCCACCUUGCAUGCGUCAGUUACAUAAAGCCUUGCGGGAAAAAUCACCAUCUUCGUCAUUGAGGCCGAAUGCAGUAUGACCUAUUUCUGAAGGGCAUUGGUUUAACUUUGGAACAGGCAUUGUAGUUCUGGAAGCAAGAAUUUAUCAAAGGAAAGAUGGAUCCAGACAAGUUGAGACGGGGUUUCACCAUUUUGGCUAGGCUG